RNAcentral lists this ribosomal RNA (460 nucleotides) under uncultured bacterium. RNAcentral describes it as "partial 16S ribosomal RNA". It matches the Rfam family "Bacterial small subunit ribosomal RNA", at positions 338 to 795 of the family's 1533-position model. The record is from RNAcentral.
CCUACGGGAGGCUGCAGUGAGGAAUAUUGGUCAAUGGGCGCGAGCCUGAACCAGCCAAGUAGCGUGAAGGAUGACUGCCCUACGGGUUGUAAACUUCUUUUAUAAAGGAAUAAAGUGCGGCACGUGUGCCUUUUUGUGUGUACUUUAUGAAUAAGGAUCGGCUAACUCCGUGCCAGCAGCCGCGGUAAUACGGGGGAUCCGAGCGUUAUCCGGAUUUAUUGGGUUUAAAGGGAGCGUAGAUGGGUUGUUAAGUCAGUUGUGAAAGUUUGGGGCUCAACCGUAAAAGUGCAAUUGAUACUGGCAGACUUGAGUGCAGGUGAGGUAGGCGGAAUUCGUGGUGUAGCGGUGAAAUGCUUAGAUAUCACGAAGAACUCCGAUUGCGAAGGCAGCUUACUAGACUGCCACUGACAUUGAUGCACGAAAGCGUGGGGAUCAAACAGGAUUAGAUACCCUUGUAGUC